UACGAAGGGGGCUAGCGUUGUUCGGAAUUACUGGGCGUAAAGCGCACGUAGGCGGUUCUGUUAGUCAGGCGUGAAAUCCCGGGGCUUAACCUCGGAACUGCCUUUGAUACUGUUGGACUAGAGUCUGGGAGAGGCGGGUGGAAUUCCAAGUGUAGAGGUGAAAUUCGUAGAUAUUUGGAGGAACACCAGUGGCGAAGGCGACCAUCUGGACGAGUACUGACGCUGAGAUGCGAAAGCGUGGGGAGCAAACAGG
Molecule: ribosomal RNA, 253 nt
Filed under: uncultured bacterium
Lineage: Bacteria
Description: partial 16S ribosomal RNA
Rfam family: Bacterial small subunit ribosomal RNA
Source: RNAcentral